Long non-coding RNA from Ictalurus punctatus (channel catfish), 1674 nucleotides. NCBI's taxonomy places the organism in Eukaryota, Metazoa, Chordata, Actinopteri, Siluriformes, Ictaluridae. The record is from Ensembl.
GUGUCGAAUUGGAGGGCUUGGAUAAGAAUGAAUUUGAGUUAGAGCUCACGACAUGCGCUCUUCUUCCCCAUUGCUGCCCAGUAUCAGUCCUGGGGUUUAAAUCUUUCGAAGUAGUGAUGGAAGCAGAUACCGGUUUAUUUCUCAUCUUACAAACAGCAGUUUCAUGUGUUACAAGCACUUAAAAGAAGCAAUGUAUAGAGGGCUGUUAUGAAUACUAGCAUGCUGUGAAAGCUAAGCGCUACCACUGCUAUCUAUCUGAGGACCUUCCGAUUCUGCCAUGUUUUAUGCUCUUCCUCAGUGGCCCUGAAGUACAAGAAUGUUAAGAGGAUCACUAUGUCACUGUCACUAUGGUCAAUGGACAAGGCAAUGUCGAAACACUUUAUACCUGUUGUUUUUAGUCAAAUGUUACCCAAAAUGCUUAAUAAGCCAUAAGUAAUGGCUAAGUCCAUUAUGUAAUAAUUCCAGUGUUUAAUAAUUCUGUUUUUGUGCAUAUCUGAUACUAAUUUUACUUAGAAAUGAAAAACUCUAAGAUAUGUUGUUUUUGUUUUUGUGUGUGUGUGUAUGUGUCGUGGUUAAUACAUCACCCUUAUUAACUACGUGGCCAAUGAGCUAUCUUCAUACCACACUAUAUAAGUGGUUGUUUAUGCCUCACGAAAUGCGACAUGGUCGAAAACCCGCCCCUUCCUUUGGUUGCUAUGGACUACAGAGGUAUGUGUUUUUAAGCUUUGUCUUAGCUGUUUGAUGUUGGCGUUGUCUACUUACCAUACUUGUUUAGUGUGACGUUGGGCUACCAAGACUGUGUGCAUGGGUGGUCAAGGCUCCCAUCUGUGUAGCAUGGUAGUUUAACGUAGCUCCGGUCGGAGCACUAGCUGUUGCCGUCACAACUAUUAAAGACGCUAUCAUGAUUUUCGUUUGUACCAUCGUGUGUAUCAUGUCAUCGGAUCACAGUAGGUAAAGCAUUUAGUUCCGUUACUCGAGCUAAACUAUCUUGCAUGCUUUCCAAAUUGAGGUUGUAACACCUGUUUGUUCUUAGGGUCCUCGAUUUUGAAUGCGUUAAGGCGGGCUGAGUGAGAUGUGGUCGUUUCGGUAUAGCUCCUCCCCCUCACUCGCAGAGCCACGUUGCUGCUUGAUUCUGUUUGGUUUUGCUGCUUCCGUUUGUUUUGCUUUUAUUUAUGUUGGUUACUGUCACUAAGAUCAGUUUUAUUGAACUCAACUGUGUUGUAACAGUCUUUAUCAGUUAUGUUGGUACUGCUAUGGUACUAGCUUGGUAGUAGUGGUUUUGGUCAGUCGUGGUAAACUUGCUACCUGUAAUCAGUUUGCGCUCGGGGUAAUGUCUGUUUUUGUGACGGUAAGCUUGUUUUUGUCUGCUGUGAUCAUAUUGUAAUUGACUGACUUUGUAUUUUUGUUUUUCUUUUUGUAGGAGCUGAGUGCUUCCUGAGACUGGGGGAGUUCUUUGCUGCACUUUAGGCUUUUACUUAACCAAGGCUGGUGCUGUCGUACUAGCCUGCCCUUCAUACAGGAAGCCUCAGUCCUCCUAUGAUUAUUGUUAAUUUCCUCUUGUGACUGUUUUAUUUGACCAAUGCCUGACUGUGUUGGCUGCUUUUUAUUUAUUUAUUUUUUUAAAUAGUUCUUGGCCAGUGUUUAACUUUUAAAUAAAAUAAACUUUUGUAUGGA